ACCGUUCCUUCCACCUGCAGCCUGUACACAAAGCCCUGCUUGCUUAGGGGCAGGCUGGCCUCCAGCAGGGAGCAGUGUGCUUAUCAGACGAGGGAAACCUGAGCAGAGCUGGCUGUUUAAUCAGUGGGGGAGGUGAGAGCGGGCCGGGACACUCAGAGGUGGAAGGAAGCCUCCCAGAGCACUGAGUCAGGGAGAGGCAGAGGCGGGGUCCCCAAGGCCAAGUCCCCUGUGGAGCCCUGCAGCUUCCUGGUAACAGGAGCUUGGGCAAGCCCCUUACCACCCUGAGCCCCAGCCAGCUUCCUCCUAUGUAACGCAGGAGGGUGUGUGAAUACCCUGGUCCCUAGGAAGAUGUAGGUGCGGUAGGUGGCAUGUUGGUGGGAGCCAGGAAGUGCCCAGGAGAUGGAGGAAAGAGGGAUGGAAGCUGAGACUCUGCCCUGCAGACCCCCCUGGCCCGGGUCCCACCAGGCUGUCAGUACGUUCCUGGCACGCUCACUCCUCUCCAUAUGACAGUCCCUGGAGGUUGGUGGCUACGCCUGGGAGACCUGAGACUGCUUCCUCCGCCUUGGGAGGGGGGAGAACGCAAAACCGAUUGUAUUUCAGCUCCAGACCCAGAAGAAUAGCCAAACCAGGUGGG
Molecule: long non-coding RNA, 634 nt
Organism: Molossus molossus (Pallas's mastiff bat)
Lineage: Eukaryota; Metazoa; Chordata; Mammalia; Chiroptera; Molossidae
Exons: 3
Source: RefSeq, a predicted model, not a curated record